Molecule: ribosomal RNA, 520 nt
Filed under: uncultured Archaeospora
Lineage: Eukaryota; Fungi; Glomeromycota; Glomeromycetes; Archaeosporales; Archaeosporaceae
Description: SSU rRNA
Rfam family: Eukaryotic small subunit ribosomal RNA
Source: RNAcentral
AGCAGCUGCGGUAAUUCCAGCUCCAAUAGCGUAUAUUAAAGUUGUUGCAGUUAAAAAGCUCGUAGUUGAAUUUUGGAUUCUGCCAGUUGGUCCAUCUUUUGAUGAGUACUGAUUGUGUGGGGUCUAUCCGCCUGGUGAUACGUAAUGUACUUUAUUGUAUGUUACGGGUAGUCAGGACCUUUACCUUGAAAAAAUUAGAGUGUUUAAAGCAGGCUUAUGCCGGAAUACAUUAGCAUGGAAUAAUAGAAUAGGACGAAGUUGUUUUAUUUUGUUGGUUUCUAGGACAACCGUAAUGAUUAAUAGGGAUAGUUGGGGGCAUUAGUAUUCAAUUGUCAGAGGUGAAAUUCUUGGAUUUAUUGAAGACUAACUACUGCGAAAGCAUUUGCCAAGGAUGUUUUCAUUAAUCAAGAACGAAAGUUAGGGGAUCGAAGACGAUCAGAUACCGUCGUAGUCUUAACCAUAAACUAUGCCGACUAGGGAUCGGGCGAUGUUGUUUCCAUGACUCGCUCGGCACCUUAUG